GACGAACGCUGGCGGCGUGCUUAACACAUGCAAGUCGAACGGAAAGGCCCUGCUUUUGUGGGGUGCUCGAGUGGCGAACGGGUGAGUAACACGUGAGUAACCUGCCCUUGACUUUGGGAUAACUUCAGGAAACUGGGGCUAAUACCGGAUAGGAGCUCCUGCUGCAUGGUGGGGGUUGGAAAGUUUCGGCGGUUGGGGAUGGACUCGCGGCUUAUCAGCUUGUUGGUGGGGUAGUGGCUUACCAAGGCUUUGACGGGUAGCCGGCCUGAGAGGGUGACCGGCCACAUUGGGACUGAGAUACGGCGCAGACUCCUACGGGAGGCAGCGGUCGGGAAUAUUGCACAAUGGGCGGAAGCCUGAUGCAGCAACGCCGCGUGCGGGAUGACGGCCUUCGGGUUGUAAACCGCUUUCGCCUGUGACGAAGAGUGAGUGACGGUAAUGGGUAAAGAAGCACCGGCUAACUACGUG
Molecule: ribosomal RNA, 468 nt
Filed under: uncultured bacterium
Lineage: Bacteria
Description: partial 16S ribosomal RNA
Rfam family: Bacterial small subunit ribosomal RNA
Source: RNAcentral